AUGGAGAAAGACUUUCCUCUGGCUCCUCCUGUUCUUCUGACACUCUUGCCUCCAUCCACUGAGGCUCUGAAGGAGAGUAAAGCUACACUUGUGUGUCUGGCUGAGGAUAUUUCUGUAGAGAAACAACAAGACAAAACCUUCAAAAUGAGCAGCUCUCUGACCAUCGACUCCUCGGACUGGACCGAUAACGUGGAUUUCUCAUGUGAAGUGUCAGUGGGCUCAAAAUUCACUAAGAAAAGUAUCUCAAACUCAAAGUGUUAUUGA
Molecule: non-coding RNA, 264 nt
Organism: Rhinichthys klamathensis goyatoka
Lineage: Eukaryota; Metazoa; Chordata; Actinopteri; Cypriniformes; Leuciscidae
Source: the annotation of a RefSeq genome assembly